RNAcentral lists this ribosomal RNA (253 nucleotides) under uncultured bacterium. RNAcentral's name for it is "partial 16S ribosomal RNA". It matches the Rfam family "Bacterial small subunit ribosomal RNA", at positions 524 to 776 of the family's 1533-position model. The record is from RNAcentral.
UACGUAGGGGGCAAGCGUUGUCCGGAAUUAUUGGGCGUAAAGAGCUCGUAGGCGGUCUGUCGCGUCUGCUGUGAAAUCCCGAGGCUCAACCUCGGGCUUGCAGUGGGUACGGGCAGGCUAGAGUGCGGUAGGGGAGAAUGGAACUCCUGGUGUGGCGGUGGAAUGCGCAGAUAUCAGGAAGAACACCGAUGGCGAAGGCAGUUCUCUGGGCCGUAACUGACGCUGAGGAGCGAAAGCGUGGGGAGCGAACAGG